UGGGGCAUCUUGGACAAUGGGGGCAACCCUGAUCCAGCGACGCCGCGUGGGUGGUAAGGCCUUCGGGUUGUAAAGCCCUUUCACCGGGGAAGAUGAUGACAUUACCCGGAGAAGAAGCGCCGGCUAACUCCGUGCCAGCAGGCGCGGUAAGACGGAGGGCGCUAGCGUUGUUCGGAAACACUGGGCGUAAAGGGCGCGUAGGCGGCGUCUUAAGUCGGAGGUGAAAGCCCGGAGCUCAACUUCGGAACGGCCUUCGAGACUGGGGCGCUAGAGACCGGAAGAGGAGGGUGGAAUACCCAGUGUAGAGGUGAAAUUCGUAGAUAUUGGGUGGAACACCAGUGGCGAAAGCGGCUCUCUGGUCCGGAUCUGACGCUGAGGCGCGAAAGCGUGGGGAGCAAACAGGAUUAGAUACCCCCGUAGUCC
This 423-nucleotide ribosomal RNA is filed under the name uncultured prokaryote. RNAcentral describes it as "bacterial SSU rRNA". It matches the Rfam family "Bacterial small subunit ribosomal RNA", at positions 355 to 796 of the family's 1533-position model. The record is from RNAcentral.